AUGAUUUUCGCACAAAGCUUGUUCGUUUCAUCGACGUAGGUACCUGCGUCGGCGUCGGCGUCUAGACGCAGCGUCCAGCGUCAAGACGCCGAGAAAACCAGCGGCCGCGUCAAAAGAUCUGCGUUUUUUUACCCUAUUUAUAAUUUUACCCUUAACCUAAUUUAUUAUUUACAAAAAAACCUAACAUAUUUGACGCAGCCGCCUCCUUUUGACGCAACUUCAUCUCUCUCGAUCUCUUCUCACAGACCUCUCAUCUCGAUCUCCAUCUCUUUGCGAUCUCCAUCUCAUCUCGAUCUCCAUCUCUCUCCAACUCCAUCUCACUCUCCAUCUCGACUCUCUCUCCAUCUCGUGCUCUCACUCCAUCUUGUGCCCUCACUCUCCAUCUCGUGCUCUCACUCUCCAUCUCACUCUCCAUCUCGACUCUCUCUCCAUCUCGUGCUCUCUGACACAAACCCAUCUCAAGUUCUCUCUCAAUCUCCGAAGCAGACCCAUCUAUGAGCUCUCUCUCUUGAACCUAACUUGGUGGAAGCCAUCGGUUUAAGAUUGACCCGGACAUUCAAAAGGGUUUAGACCUUGGUCUGGUGUCACCUGAGAUUCUACAGAACUUCUUUGAUCUAGAGCAAUAUCCUCUUAUUGCAGAGCUUACACAGAGGUUCCAGGGUUUCAGAGAAAGGCUUUCUGUGUGUGUCUGUCUUUCACUGUCUUGUAAGGAUCGGAAUCUCAUCCAAGUAAACGAAGGUUAUCAGACCAACUCUACUCCUCCAUCUAAAGUCAGAAUGCAGAAGCAUAUAAUGGUAGAAAAGGAGUUACAAUGAAUGUUCUCGCCAUAUGUAACUUCGAUAUGAAGUUCAUAUAUGCAUAUGUCGGAGUACCUGGUAGAGCACAUGAUUCAAAGGUCUUGACUCAUUGUGCGAGGAAUGAGGCUUCUU
Molecule: long non-coding RNA, 929 nt
Organism: Raphanus sativus (radish)
Lineage: Eukaryota; Viridiplantae; Streptophyta; Magnoliopsida; Brassicales; Brassicaceae
Exons: 5
Source: RefSeq, a predicted model, not a curated record